GAUAUGACAUCAUAAGGCUGUGCCUGGCUCUUGCUCUUUUGUGAUUUGGCUGAAGAAAGAAAAACAUCCACGUGACACACUAUUAUACAGAUGGCGUUUAUUAAAGAGGAGAGUGAAGACAUUAGGAUUGCAGAAGUAUUCAGCAUCAAACAUGAAGAUACUGAGGAACAAACAGACCUGAAGGUGCUGAUAGAGGAGAGUCAAGAACUGAAUGAAAAUGAAGACAAGUACCUGG
Long non-coding RNA from Sinocyclocheilus anshuiensis, 235 nucleotides. RefSeq lists it as uncharacterized. Lineage: Eukaryota; Metazoa; Chordata; Actinopteri; Cypriniformes; Cyprinidae. The transcript is spliced from 3 exons. The record is from RefSeq and is a predicted model, not a curated record.